UGCCACCAAGUUCAUUCUACAGGAUGGACAA
RNAcentral lists this non-coding RNA (31 nucleotides) under Rattus norvegicus (Norway rat). Lineage: Eukaryota; Metazoa; Chordata; Mammalia; Rodentia; Muridae. The record is from RNAcentral.